GGAUGUGAGGGCAACCUGACUGCAACAUCUGUCACCCCAUUGAUCUCCAGUGUUGAUUCGGCUGAUCUGGCUGGCUAGGAUGGUGUCCCCUUCCUCCCUCAAUGCUCCAUGUGCAUCCCUUCCGAAGCUACUCGCGGGGUUGAAGAGGAUGACCACCCCCUAUAAAGGAGGACCGUUCCUCGGUCAAGGGUAUACGAGUAGCUGCACUCCCCUGCUAGAACCUCCAAACAAGCUCUCAAAUUGUCCAGGUGUGUCAGCUCUUCCUUUGAUACAUCAGCAGAAAACAGCAAACCUUCCUUAUGUAAAUGCAGAUAGGCAUGUAAAGCACUCAGCUUUCCGGGUGA
This 344-nucleotide small nuclear RNA is filed under the name Chinchilla lanigera (long-tailed chinchilla). RNAcentral's name for it is "7SK RNA (ENSCLAG00000021667.1)". The stretch from base 1 to 303 matches the Rfam family "7SK RNA". From Rfam's summary of the family: 7SK was discovered as an abundant small nuclear RNA in the mid-70s but a possible function has only recently been suggested. Two independent studies have found that 7SK RNA binds the CDK9/cyclin T complex (known as elongation factor P-TEFb). The record is from RNAcentral. Lineage: Eukaryota; Metazoa; Chordata; Mammalia; Rodentia; Chinchillidae.